This 241-nucleotide ribosomal RNA is filed under the name uncultured bacterium. RNAcentral's name for it is "partial 16S ribosomal RNA". It matches the Rfam family "Bacterial small subunit ribosomal RNA", at positions 118 to 347 of the family's 1533-position model. The record is from RNAcentral.
UGAGCAAUCUGCCCUUCUCUUCUGAAAUAAGCGUUGGAAACGACGUCUAAUGCCGAAUACGACCUCCUUUCGCAUGAUCGGAGGUGGAAAGCUCCGGCGGAGAAGGAUGAGCUCGCGGCCUAUCAGCUUAGUUGGUGUGGGUAAUGGCCCACCAAGGCGACGACGGGUAGCCGGCCUGGAGGAGGGUGACCCGGCCACACGUGGGACUGAGACACCGGCCCAGACCUCCGUACGGGAGCAG